Long non-coding RNA from Herpailurus yagouaroundi (jaguarundi), 409 nucleotides. RefSeq lists it as uncharacterized. NCBI's taxonomy places the organism in Eukaryota, Metazoa, Chordata, Mammalia, Carnivora, Felidae. The record is from RefSeq and is a predicted model, not a curated record. The transcript is spliced from 4 exons.
GAGGUGGAUGGGAGCCUCAGGUAUCCAGGGCCAAAGGAAUGGCGUGAUCCGUUCUGGUACAACAGACAAGAGCUAGUACCUUCCCCUCCACUCUCAGAUCCUCUCAGAAUGGGCCAGAGGCUCUGAUGUCUUCAAACCUUAUUGCCAAUCCAACCAGGCCUCAGCAGUUUCAUUUAGACAUGACUUAGGUAAGGAUGUGGCUCCCUCCUGGAUCGCCUGCCUUACCCCGGGCCGAGACAGAUAGGAGUACGCAUUUGGCUUGGCAGCCGUGGGAACCCCACGCGGUGGGAAAGGGAACAGCAGCUCCCACAAACGGAAAAUGCCCCUAACAUACAGCAUUCUACAGCCACCCUGUCUGUUGGAGCAGCAGCGCCAGGUUUGAUGUGGCUGAAGGCGGGGCCAGACUGGG